CGGGUUGAUAUUCCCGUACCCGCGUGUGUGCGUCCCUGACGAGGCAGGUGAGACUAACCACCCGAAGCCCUCCUUAACCUCACUUCGGUGAGGGUGGGGGGUGGAGCGUGGGACCUGCUCCUGUAGUAGACAAGUGAUGGGGUGACGCAGGAAGGUAGCUCCGCCAGUAAGUGGUAUGACUGGUGUAAGCGUGUAGGGCGACCGGUAGGCAAAUCCGCCGGUCACGAAGCCUGAGACGUGAUGCGUAGCCGUAUGAGGCGAAGUG
This 265-nucleotide ribosomal RNA is filed under the name Enterococcus hirae. RNAcentral describes it as "partial 23S ribosomal RNA". The record is from RNAcentral. Lineage: Bacteria; Bacillati; Bacillota; Bacilli; Lactobacillales; Enterococcaceae.